GGUGGGGUUCCCGAGUGGCCAAAGGGGGCAGACUGUAAAUCUGUUGGCAACGCCUUCGGAGGUUCAAAUCCUCCCCCCACCACCA
Molecule: transfer RNA, 85 nt
Filed under: Desulfobacterales bacterium HSG16
Lineage: Bacteria; Pseudomonadati; Thermodesulfobacteriota; Desulfobacteria; Desulfobacterales
Also listed under: 1 other name
Description: tRNA-Tyr
Rfam family: tRNA
About the family: Transfer RNA (tRNA) molecules are approximately 80 nucleotides in length. Their secondary structure includes four short double-helical elements and three loops (D, anti-codon, and T loops).
Source: RNAcentral